GGGAUUGUGGCUCCAUGGUAGAGCGCUCACCUAGCACGUGUGAGGCCCUGGGUUCGAUCCUCAGCACCA
Non-coding RNA from Ictidomys tridecemlineatus (thirteen-lined ground squirrel), 69 nucleotides. The record is from Rfam. NCBI's taxonomy places the organism in Eukaryota, Metazoa, Chordata, Mammalia, Rodentia, Sciuridae.